Stegodyphus dumicola is the source of this 1074-nucleotide long non-coding RNA. RefSeq lists it as uncharacterized. NCBI's taxonomy places the organism in Eukaryota, Metazoa, Arthropoda, Arachnida, Araneae, Eresidae. The record is from RefSeq and is a predicted model, not a curated record.
GUCUGCUUUGUUUACAUAGUUCAUGUUUUCUUCAGUUAAGAAACUUUAGAUAUAUCACACAAAUUUUAAUAUGGCUAAGUAUUUAGGUCUGGUUAAUGUGAAGCGAUGUUUGACAUUAUUAAGCAUAAUGUUGGUAUUAUACAGUCGGGUCUCAGCAGUAAUGCAGAACAGAUGAACUUUGCAUAGGUACCUUGUUAGGUGUCUAUGAAAUUGGGAGCAAGUAUUAUGAAAAUGAAAUCUAUUUUUAUGGUGCUUAAUAUGCAAAAAUGGUUGUAUUGAAGAUAUUAGCAUGAUUUUAUUAAGAGAUUGUAUUAAGAGAAUCAAGGCAAAAAGCUUGAAGAUGUUAAUUAUGCUCAAGAAUGUAUUCCAAAAGCUGCAACUCUGAGAUAAACCAAAAAAGUUUCAAGAAGAAAUUUAAUAAGGAAGAAAGGCAGUUCAGUAUAUUAAAGACAAAUCUGGCAUGGUGCUGCUUUUAAUAAUCGAAGAAACUAUGGAAUCUGGUGUUAAAAGCUGAGGGGCAUAUGCGAGGAAAUACAGUACUCCCUGGAGCAUCCAAACUCAAUUAUUGAAUGGCCAAAGUCAAAAUCAUCAAUAAACUAUGACAUGAAUGUAGCCUUAAAAAUGAUAGAGGUAUUAGAAAUUGCCACUAGAUCAUAUUGCAUAAGAGACCUUUCAACUUACCAAGCAUCUGGACAUCGAUUCAGAGAAGUACAGUUUUCAGAGAAGUUUUGGAAGAAAACUGGAAAGAGAGGAACUUGAUCGAGCCAUUCGUUCCAGCUCCAGCUGAAUUCUUUCUCAUCACUUCAUCAACAUGGAUCAAAAAGUUGAAAACUUUAGCUUUCCUAACUGUAAAGAGCUUAACAGCUGACUGAUAUGGCAGUUCGUUUACUAUAUAUGUGAAGAUUAAAAGAAUCGCCGUAUUUUCUUGAAGGACGGUUUGCAGCAGCCCAAAUUCAUUCUCAAGAUAUGUUUUCAUGUAUGUACAUUUUGAGUUGGAAUACCACCUGCAUAAAUACAUUAAUAACAUUGAGCAUAAAAUACAUUAAAUUUCAUUCAUGUGUUAUGAUUUAUAAA